GACGAACGCUGGCGGCGUGCUUAACACAUGCAAGUCGAACGGAAAGGCCCUUCUUUUGUGGUACGCUCGAGUGGCGAACGUGUGUGAAACACGAGUGUAACCUGCCUUUGACUUUGGUAAAAUUUCGGGAAACUGGGGAAUAUACCGGAUAGGAUCCCCUGCUGCAUGGUGGGGUGGGGAAAUUUGGGGGGGUUGGGUGUGGUCUCGGGGCUUCUCCGUGUGUUGGUGGGGUAGUGGUUUACCAAGGCUUUCACGGGUGGCGGGCCUGAGGGGGGGACCGGCAACAUUGGGACUGGGAACCGCCCAAGCGUCCUACGGGAGGCAGAAGUGGGGAAUAUUGCCCAAUGGUGGGAGGCUGGAUGCAGAAACGCCGCGUGCGGGAGAAAGGCUUUCGGGUGGUAAACCGCUUUGGCCUGUAACGAGGCGUGUGUGACGGUAAUGGGUAAAGAAGCACCGGCUAACUACGUG
RNAcentral lists this ribosomal RNA (468 nucleotides) under uncultured bacterium. RNAcentral's name for it is "partial 16S ribosomal RNA". It matches the Rfam family "Bacterial small subunit ribosomal RNA", at positions 28 to 507 of the family's 1533-position model. The record is from RNAcentral.